Long non-coding RNA from Branchiostoma floridae (Florida lancelet), 539 nucleotides. RefSeq lists it as uncharacterized. Lineage: Eukaryota; Metazoa; Chordata; Leptocardii; Amphioxiformes; Branchiostomatidae. The record is from RefSeq and is a predicted model, not a curated record. The transcript is spliced from 3 exons.
UGUACUGUGUGUGCUGUGCCAUGAUCAUCUGCAUCCGUAGCCGGAUUCUGGAGGGGGAUUUCUCCGACACCAUGAGGACACUACAGAACUACCCAGAUGGAGACAUCCACGUCGUGUUGAGGAAAGCUGUGGAGAUCUGUCCGUCUUGAGACAUGCUGCAUCUUAGACACACGUCUUAGACACGUCCCCUGCAGACACGCCCCUUUCUUAGCCCAUCUUGAUAUCUACCUUUUCUAAGACAUGUUCCUGGGGCCUUCAGUCUAGAGACAUGGCCUCUUAUACCAGAAAGUUUCUGCCAUCUUUAUCACUGUAAGAUCUUCUACAUCUAAGACUCCUUCCCAUGCCGUUAAGGCUCCUUACCGUGUCUCCUCCAGCCCACCAGGAAGGGCCCAGAUUAUCAACCUGGUUUAUGUCUGUUCACCUUUUAAGUUUUAUCAUCUUCAAACAUUUUUAUCAUUCUUUUAUCUAAACAGCAGAAGCUGUGGGAUUUUGGAAGUUUUUUAGGUCCAAAUAAAGUGGAUAGAUUUAAUGAUACAAUA